UUCAUUUAAAAAAAAAUUACAACAACAUCAAAAAUGGCUAUUGUUAACCAAAAAACACAUUGGUACUUAAUCAUUUCUAUCAUUUUCUUCUUCUUCUUGAUCACUUGUCAAGCAAGGAAUUUGCAAGUUGAUAAUUAUGAAUUAGUUCAAAAGAGUGGCAACCAACAAAUUGUUAUAAGCAAUAAAGAGAAAUCAAAGUAUGAAGAUUCAGUAGCAAUAGACAUAGAUUAUACUCCUGCUAGAAAGAAACCUCCUAUUCAUAAUUAGAAUUUGGAGAAUUAUCGAGUGACGAAUCUAAAAUUUAGAGUCAGUCGAUUAUGUUUCUGAUAUUAUAAGUGUUAUUAUUUUUUGUUACACGUAUAUAUACCUCAUUUGAGAGCUAGAUGCAAGUGGAUUCUGUCAAA
Long non-coding RNA from Solanum tuberosum (potato), 404 nucleotides. RefSeq lists it as uncharacterized. The transcript is spliced from 2 exons. The record is from RefSeq and is a predicted model, not a curated record. NCBI's taxonomy places the organism in Eukaryota, Viridiplantae, Streptophyta, Magnoliopsida, Solanales, Solanaceae.